CUAGCUGGAACAAUGUCCUCUGGUCUGUCUCCUCCACAGCUCCGACAGGUCUACCUGCUGGUUACUAGUCCAACUCUCUAGCUGGAACAAUGUCCUCUGGUCUGUCUCCUCCACAGCUCCGACAGGUCUACCUGCUGGUUACUAGCCCAACUCUCUAGCUGGAACAAUGUCCUCUGGUCUGUCUCCUCCACAGCUCCUACAGGUCUACCUGCUGGUUACUAGCCCAACUCUCUAGCUGGAACAAUGUCCUCUGGUCUGUCUCCUCCACAGCUCCUACAGGUCUACCUGCUGGUUACUGGCCCAACACUCUAACCACUAGACUACCUGCUGGUUACUAGUCCAACGCUCUAACCACUAGACUACCUGCUGGUUACUAGCCCAACUCUCUAGCUGGAACAAUGUCCUCUGGUCUGUCUCCUCCACAGCUCCGACAGGUCUACCUGCUGGUUACUAGCCCAACUCUCUAGCUGGAACAAUGUCCUCUGGUCUGUCUCCUCCACAGCUCCGACAGGUCUACCUGCUGGUUACUAGCCCAACUCUCUAGCUGGAACAAUGUCCUCUGGUCUGUCUCCUCCACAGCUCCGACAGGUCUACCUGCUGGUUACUAGCCCAACUCUCUAGCUGGAACAAUGUCCUCUGGUCUGUCUCCUCCACAGCUCCGACAGGUCUACCUGCUGGUUACUAGUCCAACUCUCUAGCUGGAACAAUGUCCUCUGGUCUGUCUCCUCCACAGCUCCGACAGGUCUACCUGCUGGUUACUAGCCCAACUCUCUAGCUGGAACAAUGUCCUCUGGUCUGUCUCCUCCACAGCUCCUACAGGUCUACCUGCUGGUUACUAGCCCAACUCUCUAGCUGGAACAAUGUCCUCUGGUCUGUCUCCUCCACAGCUCCUACAGGUCUACCUGCUGGUUACUAGUCCAACGCUCUAACCACUAGUCUACCUGCUGGUUACUAGUCCAACUCUCUAGCUGGAACAAUGUCCUCUGGUCUGUCUCCUCCACAGCUCCGACAGGUCUACCUGCUGGUUACUAGCCCAACUCUCUAGCUGGAACAAUGUCCUCUGGUCUGUCUCCUCCACAGCUCCGACAGGUCUACCUGCUGGUUACUAGUCCAACUCUCUAGCUGGAACAAUGUCCUCUGGUCUGUCUCCUCCACAGCUCCGACAGGUCUACCUGCUGGUUACUAGCCCAACUCUCUAGCUGG
Oncorhynchus keta (chum salmon) is the source of this 1203-nucleotide long non-coding RNA. RefSeq lists it as uncharacterized. NCBI's taxonomy places the organism in Eukaryota, Metazoa, Chordata, Actinopteri, Salmoniformes, Salmonidae. The transcript is spliced from 3 exons. The record is from RefSeq and is a predicted model, not a curated record.